UGAACGCUGGCGGCGUGCUUAACACAUGCAAGUCGAACGAAGCACUUAUGACAGAUUCUUCGGAAGAUGGAUUAAGUGACUGAGUGGCGGACGGGUGAGUAACGCGUGGGUAACCUGCCAUAUACAGGGGGGAUAACACUUAGAAAUAGGUGCUAAUACCGCAUAAGCGCACGGUGUCGCAUGACACAGUGUGAAAAACUCCGGUGGUAUAUGAUGGACCCGCGUCUGAUUAGCUAGUUGGUGAGGUAAGGGCUCACCAAGGCGACGAUCAGUAGCCGGCCUGAGAGGGUGAACGGCCACAUUGGGACUGAGACACGGCCCAAACUCCUACGGGAGGCAGCAGUGGGGAAUAUUGCACAAUGGGGGAAACCCUGAUGCAGCGACGCCGCGUGAACGAUGAAGUAUUUCGGUAUGUAAAGUUCUAUCAGCAGGGAAGAUAAUGACGGUACCUGACUAAGAAGCACCGGCUAAAUACGUG
This 478-nucleotide ribosomal RNA is filed under the name uncultured bacterium. Its description in RNAcentral is "bacterial SSU rRNA". It matches the Rfam family "Bacterial small subunit ribosomal RNA", at positions 30 to 507 of the family's 1533-position model. The record is from RNAcentral.